Gossypium arboreum is the source of this 2510-nucleotide RNA transcript. RefSeq lists it as uncharacterized. NCBI's taxonomy places the organism in Eukaryota, Viridiplantae, Streptophyta, Magnoliopsida, Malvales, Malvaceae. The transcript has 7 exons. The record is from RefSeq and is a predicted model, not a curated record.
AAUAUUUCCACCCAGCCAAUUCUAAUGUGGAUUAAAGUAGAAACAAAAUACUUUAUACGGAACGAAAUGAAACAAUUCAAUGGAUAAGUACGAACGUGGAACUAAAUAAGGAUUUUAAGGAUGAUGAAUGACGAUCGAAUGUAGGGUGUUUACAUACAGUUUCGAAGUUUAUAGGUAGGGAGUGAAGUGAAAGCUGAGAAAAGAAGCCAAGAUGAUAAUGAAUUGUGCAGCAAUGGUUGUCGUAGGUUACAGGCCUGUCCUAAGCCCCAAAUGCUUUGCUUCAAAUCCCAAAAUCAACACAGAGCAGCUUCGUUACCAGCUUGACCAACUUCAUGCUGAAGCUGAGAGCACCCGAGCCAAAGCUAACAAUGCUAGAUUGAGGUUUUUGCGGCUAUCAGAGGCAGCAGAGAAGCUUCGACGACAGGCAGCUGUUAGUAUUCAGGGGGGGAAGGAAAAUGAGGCAAGGGACCUGCUUUUUCAGAAAAAGAAGGUUAUGCAAGCUUUGGAAAAGUCUAAGAGUCGGAUUGAGUUAUUGGAUAAGCUUGCUACGAAGCUUAAUGAGGUGAUAAACGUCAAAGAAACUCAACUAAUUGGGAAUAUUGUGUCAGAUUCUGAAAUUGGUGAAGAAGAUGGUUCCAGUCCAGUUCGGAUCAUAUCUCCGAAGGAGCAAGCUGAAAACAAUAAAAAUAAGAAUAAGGACUUUGGCCUUGAUGCUUUAACAGUUGGUGAAGAUCAAAAGUUGUUGCUUGAUACUGAUGAUUUGGUGGAGCAACCUGCCCACAAGGAGCUAGAGGAACAUAAAGCAUUAGCUUUUAAUGAAGACAAUAGAACUAGCAGCUUGGCAGCAAUAUCGACUUAUGAGGACUUCUUGGAACAUUUGGAUCAACAGCUCAAACAAAUUGAACAAGAACUUCUCACGAUAUUAAAUGUUUCAACACUAUUACUUGAUGAUGAGAAACCAAAAAAUGUGAAGGUGCAGCAAACGACAGGAAUUCUUGAGAGUAUACUUGAUUUAAGACAGAGAAUUACAAAUAUCAGGCAGAUGAAGGUUGAGAUAAGUUAAGGCUUCAUUGUUUCUUGGUCAGGUUCCUACUACCAGUUAUUGCUGACUGCAAAAGAAGCUAUUGAGUUUAUAACCUUGUCUGGGGAAUGGGAAGCAGCAAAGCUAGGAGUUCCUUUUAAGUUACUAGAGAAAAACAGAGGCUAUCAGCAUGAAGUUGCUUAAAACUGCAACACAUUGAGAGAAAUUGUCACUGGCUACUCUUCAUUAUAUGGAUUACCAGUAUUAUCAUGACAAAAUAAAAAUUGGGAUAAGUAGAAAAAAAUGUCGGUGAGUUCUGGCUUUCUGCUGCUUUCAUCUUUCUGAUUUUUAGAAUGCAUGUUGGGUUUAUAUUUUCGAUGCUCUGCAUAUGGAUUUUGUUACCUGUAGCAUGUGCAAGAAAGCAUUUUUUUUUUAGUAAAAUCAUUACUUCAAUAACAUAUAAUAACUGAAUGAACUCUUAAAUUAUAUAGCAUAAGUCCAUUGCAUUGUUGCAUUUAUAAUCAAAUUUACCUACUCUGUGAAUUUUUCUUCACAUAUAUUUUAUACUCUCUAGUACCGAUUGAUGGUAGACGUCUUUGUGAAUUAGCAAAGGGUAACAAAUGAAAUAGAAGUAAAUGUGUUGAAAUUAGAUAUUUGAGAGAUGAAUUUUAUAGGGAUUUGAAUAAUUUCACUCAUACUAAAAAAUGGUAACAUAGGUAUUUAUACAAAGAGCAAAAAACUAAGGCAAGAAAUAGUAUAUAAUCCUAAUAUCAAGUAUAUCUAAUCCCUAAUUUACAGUGAUAGGAAGAAUCUCUUGGCUGUCAACACUCUCAAGUUGGUGCAUAGAUACCACACAUGCCCAACAUGCAAAUUAGAUUAUGAAAGGUUCUAUUACUUAAUACUUUAGUGAAUACAUCAACUAACUGCUCGUCGAACGCCAAAUGAACUAAGUUUAAGAGACUGGAGUUCAAUUUUUCUCUGAUGAAGUGCCGAUCUAUCUCAAUAUGUUUUGUUCGAUCAUGUUGGAUUGGGUUAUGAUCUAUGCUUAUUGCAGCCUUAUUAUCACAGUACAGGGAUAAUUUUCCUUCUUGACAGUUUCAGCUCCUCCAAUACCUUCUGUAGCCAAAUAAGCUCACAAACACCUUGAGCCAUAGCCCUAUAUUUUGCCUCGGCUACGCGUUGCUUAUUCUUGUGGUUCUGCUUUUGUACUGUAUGAAGAGAUUUGUAACCAAGCAAAUCUCCAUACGAAAAUCAAGUCAAGAAAUGGUUACUGCCUUUUUUUCCUUUAGAAUAUAGAAGCAUCAUUGUUAGUCACAAUCAAUGAGGUUACCAACUGUAAUUUUGCAUCAAAUUGUUUGUUGAUUACAUGAUGUCUUUCAUUUCUUCUUGAGCUUGUAAAUUACAAAGUUAGGUUUACUAUAGCCAUUGCGGAAUUAACAUGAUUUGACUAACAUUGAAUAAACAACAGAAAAUUGGUGUAAAUAUAGAA